GAUGAACGCUGGCGGCGUGCCUAAUACAUGCAAGUAGAACGCUGAAGGAGGAGCUUGCUCUUCUGGAUGAGUUGCGAACGGGUGAGUAACGCGUAGGUAACCUGCCUGGUAGCGGGGGAUAACUAUUGGAAACGAUAGCUAAUACCGCAUGACAACAGUUAUUGCAUGAUAACUGUUUAAAAGGGGCAACUGCUCCACUACCAGAUGGACCUGCGUUGUAUUAGCUAGUUGGUGAGGUAACGGCUCACCAAGGCGACGAUACAUAGCCGACCUGAGAGGGUGAUCGGCCACACUGGGAGUGAGACACGGCCCAGACUCCUACGGGAGGCAGCAGUAGGGAAUCUUCGGCAAUGGACGGAAGUCUGACCGAGCAACGCCGCGUGAGUGAAGAAGGUUGUCGGAUCGUAAAGCUCUGUUGUAAGAGAAGAACGAGUGUGAGAGUGGAAAGUUCACACUGUGACGGUAUCUUACCAGAAAGGGACGGCUGACUACGUG
Molecule: ribosomal RNA, 495 nt
Filed under: uncultured bacterium
Lineage: Bacteria
Description: partial 16S ribosomal RNA
Rfam family: Bacterial small subunit ribosomal RNA
Source: RNAcentral